CGGGAUCUGAGGGCCGUUGUAAGAGGACAUUAGCACCGUGGAAUGACAAACGUCCUGCAGCUGAAACUGCGGAUGCUGAUGCGGAGACUGAGAACGCACAUCCGGGGCAGUUCACUUAGGAUGCAUACCACGUUUGGCGUGUAGCCGCAGACAACAGGUAAGGUUUGAGGUGGAAGCUACCUUGCAUUUUGCCGUAUGUUGGCAGUACUGUGUACAGAAGUUCCCCACCGUGAAGGUUAUUUGGUUCACAUAUGCCUACUUGACAUAAGCUUCAAACCUGUUGGCGGGCUUAUCCUACGAGCCUCGUUGCGGAGGGGCUGACUACAAAAAUGCCAUGGCGCGCUUUCAGAAGUUAUUCUGCUGAUGACGCACGAUCUAAGUUUUUGUAAGCAAGACUAUAUUUCAUAGACAUGGAUUAUGGCUAGUUAACCCUUUGCGUUCAUAAGGGCCAC
Molecule: long non-coding RNA, 452 nt
Filed under: Volvox carteri
Lineage: Eukaryota; Viridiplantae; Chlorophyta; Chlorophyceae; Chlamydomonadales; Volvocaceae
Description: long non-coding RNA (VCAR_LNC002762)
Source: RNAcentral